RNAcentral lists this long non-coding RNA (245 nucleotides) under Notechis scutatus (mainland tiger snake). RNAcentral's name for it is "lncRNA (ENSNSUG00000014934.1)". Lineage: Eukaryota; Metazoa; Chordata; Lepidosauria; Squamata; Elapidae. The record is from RNAcentral.
UUUCUCUUGGAUUAGCAAAAUUUGGAUUCUACAUACCUUUUGUGCAUAUGAUGAAACUUGCAGGUGAUUUGGGUAUUCCUUUGGAAAAAGCAUCCUAUAUUAUGGUAGGACUUGGAGUAAGCAGCAUGAUUAGUUCUCUUCUGUUUGGAAAAAUUUGUGAUAUUGAAAAUAUCGACCGACUUUAUAUUAAUCAGGCAUCCAUAUUAUCUGUUGGUGUGGUCUACUUUAUUAUUCCUCAUUGCACA